This 501-nucleotide ribosomal RNA is filed under the name uncultured bacterium. Its description in RNAcentral is "bacterial SSU rRNA". It matches the Rfam family "Bacterial small subunit ribosomal RNA", at positions 9 to 489 of the family's 1533-position model. The record is from RNAcentral.
GAGUUUGAUCCUGGCUCAGAUUGAACGCUGGCGGCAGGCCUAACACAUGCAAGUCGAGCGGAAACGAGUUAACUGAACCUUCGGGGAACGUUAACGGCGUCGAGCGGCGGACGGGUGAGUAAUGCCUGGGAAAUUGCCCUGAUGUGGGGGAUAACCAUUGGAAACGAUGGCUAAUACCGCAUAAUAGCUUCGGCUCAAAGAGGGGGACCUUCGGGCCUCUCGCGUCAGGAUAUGCCCAGGUGGGAUUAGCUAGUUGGUGAGGUAAUGGCUCACCAAGGCGACGAUCCCUAGCUGGUCUGAGAGGAUGAUCAGCCACACUGGAACUGAGACACGGUCCAGACUCCUACGGGAGGCAGCAGUGGGGAAUAUUGCACAAUGGGCGCAAGCCUGAUGCAGCCAUGCCGCGUGUAUGAAGAAGGCCUUCGGGUUGUAAAGUACUUUCAGCAGUGAGGAAGGAGGAUAGGUUAAUAAUGUAAUCAUUUGGCCUUCGCUACGCCAGAA